RNAcentral lists this long non-coding RNA (201 nucleotides) under Elaeis guineensis (African oil palm). Its description in RNAcentral is "long non-coding RNA (EGUI_LNC051004)". Lineage: Eukaryota; Viridiplantae; Streptophyta; Magnoliopsida; Arecales; Arecaceae. The record is from RNAcentral.
UGGUGUAGCUCAUCACUUUUUUUUUUUUUUUAUGUUGGGGCGAGGGUUUUCCUUCUGCUCCUAACGGGAUUGUGGGGGUGUAGCGGAAUUGCUGAGGGGCUUUUCCCCUCAUCCGAUUUCAAACGACCAGAUCUUCAUUUAUGUCAGGACAAGGUUCUCCUCCUGCUUCUGACAUGAUCAAUUUCAGCUCAUGUUAGGAUG